Molecule: long non-coding RNA, 204 nt
Filed under: Homo sapiens (human)
Lineage: Eukaryota; Metazoa; Chordata; Mammalia; Primates; Hominidae
Description: HSALNT0094809
Source: RNAcentral
ACUGCUGUCUCUCCCCGCAUCUGCCUAUCCGGUGAAGGAAGAGAGGCAGCUGCAGGAGCUGCUGUUCUGGAGGCAGACAGGAAGCUGACCUUGUAAACAGCAUGGAGAACAGCUUCUUUAUCCAUCCAAAUGGCAGAGGGCUUAGGACACUAGUGAGGAAUAAAGUCAACUUCACCAAGAUUGACCUGAUGAAUACCAUGUCUU